This 465-nucleotide ribosomal RNA is filed under the name uncultured bacterium. RNAcentral's name for it is "partial 16S ribosomal RNA". It matches the Rfam family "Bacterial small subunit ribosomal RNA", at positions 339 to 795 of the family's 1533-position model. The record is from RNAcentral.
CUACGGGGCGCAGCAGUGGGGAAUAUUGGACAAUGGGGGAAACCCUGAUCCAGCAAUGCCGCGUGUGUGAAGAAGGCCUGCGGGUUGUAAAGCACUUUCGGUUGGGAGGACUGCUUCUAGCACUAAUAUUGUUGGAAGUUGACGUUACCUUCAGAAGAAGCACCGGCUAACUCCGUGCCAGCUGCCGCGGUAAUACGGAGGGUGCAAGCGUUAAUCGGAAUUACUGGGCGUAAAGCGCGCGUAGGCGGCUAGAUCAGUCGGGUGUGAAAGCGCCGGGCUUAACCUGGGAACUGCAUCCGAUACUGUCUAGCUUGAGUACAGGAGAGGAGAGUGGAAUUCCACAUGUAGCGGUGAAAUGCGUAGAUAUGUGGAGGAACACCAAUGGCGAAGGCAGCUCUCUGGCCUGAUACUGACGCUGAGGUGCGAAAGCGUGGGGAGCAAACAGGAUUAGAUACCCUUGUAGUC